GGGAAGGUGGCUCAGUGGUAGAGUGCUUGCCUCAUACAUGCAAGGGAAACACUCUACCACUGAGCCACCUUCCCA
RNAcentral lists this transfer RNA (75 nucleotides) under Dipodomys ordii (Ord's kangaroo rat). The record is from Rfam by way of RNAcentral. Lineage: Eukaryota; Metazoa; Chordata; Mammalia; Rodentia; Heteromyidae.